This 119-nucleotide ribosomal RNA is filed under the name Pteropus alecto (black flying fox). Lineage: Eukaryota; Metazoa; Chordata; Mammalia; Chiroptera; Pteropodidae. The record is from RNAcentral.
AGAUGUGAAGAUGCCACCCUGAACGUGCCCAAUCCCAUCUGAUCUUGGAAGCUAAGCAGAGUCGGGCCUGGUUAGUACUUGGAUGAAAAACCACAUAGGAAGACCAGGUGCUGUAGGCG